UAGAGUUUGAUCAUGGCUCAGAUUGAACGCUGGCGGCAGGCCUAACACAUGCAAGUCGAGCGGUAACAUUUCUAGCUUGCUAGAAGAUGACGAGCGGCGGACGGGUGAGUAAUGCUUGGGAACAUGCCUUGAGGUGGGGGACAACCAUUGGAAACGAUGGCUAAUACCGCAUAAUGUCUACGGACCAAAGGGGGCUUCGGCUCUCGCCUUUAGAUUGGCCCAAGUGGGAUUAGCUAGUUGGUGAGGUAAAGGCUCACCAAGGCGACGAUCCCUAGCUGGUUUGAGAGGAUGAUCAGCCACACUGGAACUGAGACACGGUCCAGACUCCUACGGGAGGCAGCAGUGGGGAAUAUUGCACAAUGGGCGCAAGCCUGAUGCAGCCAUGCCGCGUGUGUGAAGAAGGCCUUCGGGUUGUAAAGCACUUUCAGUCAGGAGGAAAGGUUAGUAGUUAAUACCUGCUAGCUGUGACGUUACUGACAGAAGAAGCACCGGCUAACUCCGUGCCAGCAGCCGCGGUAAUACGGAGGGUGCGAGCGUUAAUCGGAAUUACUGGGCGUAAAGCGUACGCAGGCGGUUUGUUAAGCGAGAUGUGAAAGCCCCGGGCUUAACCUGGGAACUGCAUUUCGAACUGGCAAACUAGAGUGUGAUAGAGGGUGGUAGAAUUUCAGGUGUAGCGGUGAAAUGCGUAGAGAUCUGAAGGAAUACCGAUGGCGAAGGCAGCCACCUGGGUCAACACUGACGCUCAUGUACAAAAGCGUGGGGAGCAAACAGGAUAAGAUACCCUGGUAAUCCACACCGUAAACGAUGUCUACUAGGAGCCGGGGUCUUCGGAACACUAUUA
RNAcentral lists this ribosomal RNA (841 nucleotides) under Pseudoalteromonas piscicida. RNAcentral describes it as "bacterial SSU rRNA". It matches the Rfam family "Bacterial small subunit ribosomal RNA", at positions 1 to 845 of the family's 1533-position model. The record is from RNAcentral. Lineage: Bacteria; Pseudomonadati; Pseudomonadota; Gammaproteobacteria; Alteromonadales; Pseudoalteromonadaceae.